GACUGCGGAGGAUCAUUAUUGAAUAAACCUGAUGGGUUGUUGCUGGUUCUCUAGGGAGCAUGUGCACGCCUUGUCAUCUUUAUAUCUCCACCUGUGCACUUUUGNANACCUCUCANGGCUAUGUUGCUUCAUUUACCCNAUGUAUGUUAAUAGAAUGUUGUGCCUUUAUUAAUAUAUACAACUUUCANCAACGGAUCUCUUGGCUCUCGCAUCGAUAAANAAAGCANCGAAAUGCGAUAAGUAAUGUGAAUUGCANAAUUCAGUGAAUCAUCNAAUCUUUGAACGCACCUUGCGCUCCUUGGUAUUCCGAGNANNNUGCCUGUUUGAGUGUCAUUAAUAUAUCAAUCUUCUCUUCUUGAGUGGUUUGGAUGGUGGGGGUUUGCUGUGCCUCUUGAANGUUUCANCUCCCCUGAAAUGCAUUANCANAANAAAACCUGUNCNUUGGNGUGANAACUAUCUACNCUGUUGAAUGUAAGGGCAGUUCAGCUUUCUUAACGGUCUUUGGACAAUUUAUCAUUAAUGUGACCUCAAAUCANGUAGGACUACCCGCUGAACUUAA
RNAcentral lists this unclassified non-coding RNA (559 nucleotides) under uncultured fungus. RNAcentral describes it as "sequence contains ITS1, 5.8S rRNA gene, ITS2, 28S rRNA gene". The stretch from base 180 to 333 matches the Rfam family "5.8S ribosomal RNA". The record is from RNAcentral. Lineage: Eukaryota; Fungi.